This 253-nucleotide ribosomal RNA is filed under the name uncultured bacterium. Its description in RNAcentral is "partial 16S ribosomal RNA". It matches the Rfam family "Bacterial small subunit ribosomal RNA", at positions 524 to 776 of the family's 1533-position model. The record is from RNAcentral.
UACGUAGGGUGCGAGCGUUAAUCGGAAUUACUGGGCGUAAAGCGUGCGCAGGCGGUUUUGCAAGCCGGAUGUGAAAUCCCCGGGCUCAACCUGGGAAUGGCAUUUGGGACUGCAAGGCUCGAGUGCGGCAGAGGAGACUGGAAUUCCUGGUGUAGCAGUGAAAUGCGUAGAUAUCAGGAGGAAUACCGAUGGCGAAGGCAGGUCUCUGGGCUGGCACUGACGCUCAUGCACGAAAGCGUGGGGAGCAAACAGG